RNAcentral lists this non-coding RNA (31 nucleotides) under Mus musculus (house mouse). Lineage: Eukaryota; Metazoa; Chordata; Mammalia; Rodentia; Muridae. The record is from RNAcentral.
UCCCACAUCUUUCUGUCACAGAUUUCUUCCU